UACGGGGGGGGCAAGCGUUGUUCGGAAUUACUGGGCGUAAAGGGCUCGUAGGCGGCCAACUAAGUCAGACGUGAAAUCCCACGGCUCAACCGUGGAACUGCUGGGUAUACUGGGCGUCUUGGGCCAACUAGGGGCAACUGGAACAAGCGGUGGAGCGGUGAAAUGCGUAGAUAUCGCGUGGAACGCCAACGGUGAAAACAGGUUGCUGGGGUUGUGCCGACGCUGAGACACGAAAGCCAGGGGAGCGAACGGG
RNAcentral lists this ribosomal RNA (253 nucleotides) under uncultured bacterium. RNAcentral's name for it is "partial 16S ribosomal RNA". It matches the Rfam family "Bacterial small subunit ribosomal RNA", at positions 524 to 776 of the family's 1533-position model. The record is from RNAcentral.